This 127-nucleotide small RNA is filed under the name Marmota monax (woodchuck). The record is from RNAcentral. Lineage: Eukaryota; Metazoa; Chordata; Mammalia; Rodentia; Sciuridae.
GCUGGGUGUGGUGGUGCAUGCCUGUAAUCCCAGUGGCUCAGGAGGCUGAGGCAGGAGAAACUUGAGUUCAAACCCAGCCUCAGCAACUUAGCAAGACCCUAAGCAACUUAGUGGGACCUUGUCUCUA